UUUAGAAUGCUCUGAAGGUGAUUUAACUGACCCGUACCAAACUGACCAGCCACUCUGAACUGGGUGCCCUGACCCAGAUAAGGAAACUGAGGCACUGAGAGGCUGAAUAGCUUGUCCAAGUCAGUGGAUGAGCCAAGAUUUACAACCUGGCAGACUGCUGUAGUCUAUGAACUUACCUUCUUCCCUCCACACCCCAGAUACUCCAGUUUCCUUGGAUCUUGUAGUUAACAUGACUUCAAAGGCACUAGGGCUUCAAAGUGGCAUUUAAAUUUAAGAAUAGUCAAAGGUCUCUGUGGAGAUAAAUGAGAUAAAAUACAAAGGCAUCCUGAAAAAUGGUGGUACCUGCUCAAGUAAUAUUAGCUACUAUCCCUAUUUGAGCAAGAACAUUGUAAUGGCACCUAGAAAAAUGUUUUGUCGUCAAAUCACUGAGGUCAGCCAAUAAGGUAUCUUUUGGGCCUGAAAAGUUCUUGUCAUGACUCUCAUGAAUUGCAGAAAAGUAUACCCUCUUUGGUCAGAGUGCCUGGAUUUAAAUCCUGUAUCUGCCACUUACUAGCUUGUGAUUCUGGGCAAGUUGCUUAAUGUCUCUGUAUUUCUGUUUGCUCACUUAUAUAAUUUGUGUAAUAAUAGUACUCUCAUUGGUUGUUAUGAAGAUAAAAUAAGUUAAUAUUUAUAGAUUUCGCACAGCAGUGAUUUACACACAAUUACUACUACAUAGGUGUUUGUUAAGUAAAUACCUUCACAAUGUCUUGCUCAUUUAAACUCUAAUAAUGGUAUUAGACUGUAUGGUUUAUUUAGUCACAUACAUUUCUGGCAUUUUUUGGUUUAUGGCUCAAAUAGAAAAUUAUAUCAUACCUUGUAGAGGUAAGCAGAAGUACAAGCUUUCGGAUAUUCUGCAAAUAUUAUUUUACAUAGCUGAAUAGUUCACCUUCAUGAUGCUGACAAGUCUUGGUUGAUUUAUUAUUUUUGGAAUGUGGUGUCCAUUGUGUAUUUAAACUGAAAUAAUACAAGUAAAAUUGUGAAUUUGUUAUAUAUUCUCAAAUUUUGAAUUUGUUAUAUAUUCUCAAUUUUGAAUUUGUUAUAUAUUCUCAAAGAUGUCUGACAUUAUAUAUCAUCCACAUAAUAAUUUGAGUUCAUACACGAAGGAGAAAGCCUGAAUAAAAGUGCAGUUACCUUG
Molecule: long non-coding RNA, 1174 nt
Filed under: Homo sapiens (human)
Lineage: Eukaryota; Metazoa; Chordata; Mammalia; Primates; Hominidae
Description: HSALNT0306088
Source: RNAcentral